UUCUUCUUCCAUGGCUGUUUCCAUGUUCUCUCAGCUGCAUCUGCAUCCACUGCUUCAUGGUAACAACAAAAUCUCUUUGUCUCUGCAAUCCCAACAAAAGUUUCAUUCACCAUCCAAGGCUAUUAGUAUUAUUCAGUGUUGCUCGAGUUCUUCCAACCACAGCAUCAAGCUCAGAACUUGCAAGAACUGCAAAUCUCAAUUCGACCCUUCACUCAAUCACCCUCUUGCUUGUCACUUUCACACUGCCCAUUUUGGGGGAGAAACUAAGAGGAAGUUUGAGAGUGUUUAUGAAGGGGGCACCAUGAACACUCCUGAUUCCGGCAAAGUUUUUCAGUAUUGGCAUUGCUGCGGAUCCGAAGAUCCCUUCCAUCCUGGCUGCACUUCUGCACCUCACUCCUCUUAUGAUGACUGAUGUUCAUCAAUGUCUCUUCUUUAACUCUUCAAUUAAAAUUCUUUUAGCUAAUAUACACUUAUCAUGACUCAAUGCUAGAAAGGAUUCAGGGACUAAUAUGGUGCCUGGAGUCGGAUCUCGGGGAUCAGUAUAGUAAAUUUUGAAUCUGAAGGACUAAAAUGUUUGCACCGUAAACCACUUAUAAGUAGCUAUAACAACCAUCAUCACAAUUUCCUUGUAAAAAAGAGUUGAUUUAGAGAUCCCAACUCGACUUAUUAUCAAUGGAGGCAGCCAAGCUUUCAUGGAAGCCGAUCUUCUUCAAGAGCCUAAUUCGCUGGCGGUGCAUGCCACGAUGCAAGAUUGUUGGGAUGAGCUACUCUGGUGGCGGCGAUGAUCAGGACUAUUAUCUAGGAAGGUCAUGUGGCAUAACGUAAUUGAAUGCAAUAAGAGAAGUACUUAUAUGUUUACUACGACAAAGAUGUAUUUGAAGCAUUAGGGUUAUUGGAAUGUUGUUUGUGGAGCCUAAGACCAAGUGUUGCAUUAGGGAUGCUCACAUUUGUUGCUUUGAGUGUGAUGAUAUCUUUUGGUGUAAGAUUGUUUCAUGCCAUGGAGAUUGAUAUAUAUCUUGUUUUGGCUAAACUAAGAUAAGAGAAAAUAAUAGAAUAUCUAGCUAGGUAGAAGAAACUAAUGAUUAUUAGUUGAAAUGAAGAAACAAAGCUACCAUAUGUAGAUUCAAUUGCUUCCUUUUUUGUGUUAUAUACCAAUAUUACUAUUAGAAUUGUAAUGACUCUACACAUUAUAGUUUCUUAUUUGU
Molecule: RNA transcript, 1205 nt
Organism: Arachis stenosperma
Lineage: Eukaryota; Viridiplantae; Streptophyta; Magnoliopsida; Fabales; Fabaceae
Exons: 3
Source: RefSeq, a predicted model, not a curated record